Paragonimus kellicotti is the source of this 78-nucleotide non-coding RNA. The record is from the annotation of a GenBank genome assembly. Lineage: Eukaryota; Metazoa; Platyhelminthes; Trematoda; Plagiorchiida; Troglotrematidae.
GGUUUUGUGGCUCAGCUGGUAGAGCGUUUUCCGCACUUGGACACGUUUUUGUUGCUGGUCCCAGUCCAGCCGAAGUUA